UAGGGANUCUUCCACAAUGGGCGCAAGCCUGAUGGAGCAACACCGCNUGAGUGAAGAAGGGUUUCGGCUCGUAAAGCUCUGUUGUUAAAGAAGAACANGUNUGAGAGUAACUGUUCAUACGUNGACGGUAUUNAACCAGAAAGUCACGGCUAACUACGUGCCAGCAGCCGCGGUAAUACGUAGGUGGCAAGCGUUAUCCGGAUUUAUUGGGCGUAAAGAGAGUGCAGGCGGUUUUNUAAGUCUGAUGUGAAAGCCUUCGGCUUAACCGGAGAAGUGCAUCGGAAACCGGNNNACUUGAGUGCAGAAGAGGNUANUGGAACUCCAUGUGUAGCGGUGGAAUGCGUAGAUAUAUGGAAGAACACCAGUGGCGAAGGCGGCNNCCUGGUCUGCAACUGACGCUGAGACUCGAAAGCAUGGGUAGCGAACAGGAUUAGAUACCCUGGUAGUCCAUGCCGUAAACGAUGAGUGCUAGGUGUUGGAGGGUUUCCGCCCUUCAGUGCCGGAGCUAACGCAUUAAGCACUCCGCCUGGGGAGUACGACCGCAAGGUUG
RNAcentral lists this ribosomal RNA (550 nucleotides) under uncultured bacterium. RNAcentral describes it as "partial 16S ribosomal RNA". It matches the Rfam family "Bacterial small subunit ribosomal RNA", at positions 355 to 896 of the family's 1533-position model. The record is from RNAcentral.